Molecule: long non-coding RNA, 817 nt
Organism: Canis lupus familiaris (dog)
Lineage: Eukaryota; Metazoa; Chordata; Mammalia; Carnivora; Canidae
Exons: 4
Source: RefSeq, a predicted model, not a curated record
CCACUGCUCGCCCUCCGGCUCUAGGUUAGCCAGUGCUAGUGGGCAGACGCCAGCUGGAGUCCCUGACCACCUCUGGAUUCUGACACCCCUGUGAACGUCAGAUAGACCCCCAGGCAGGACCCACCACGGAUCUAUUUGCCUGAGGGUCUAAGAGAACCCCUGGGAAAGCAGACAGAUGUGCUUUACCAGAAACAAAGUCCCAGUGUCCAAAGGGACUGAGGUUUAUGAGCACAGCUUCAUGUUAGGUGCAAAAUAAUUGACAUGUGUUGGAUUGACAAAUAUACCAGUGCUCCUGAGAUGAACCAAGAGAGAAAACAGGAAACAAUCUUUGAACAGCAGAAGGAAACACCAAAGAUGGGGAUGUAGACACAGGAAGGUAAAGACUCUUAUCUAAGAUCACACAGUUGCAUAUGGGAAAACUGAUGAAACUCCAUUCUGCAAAUAAAGAAAUGGAAGCUCAAAGAGGCUAAGGGGUCUCAACCAUGUACCCAAUGAAAGGGGACUUCAACUAUCUCCAUUUUGGCCUAAAACCUUCUAAUUGAUUAAGGUCUUCUUUCCAGCUUAUCUCUUAAGUAAAAGACCCUGGGGGCAAAGCAUCCCAAAACAGGAACUGAAACUACCUCCUCAAGACUAAGGACUGCCCUAAGCCAGCAAGACCCCAUGUGAUUGACCUCUAAGACAAUGAUCACCCUGACCUUUACUGCCCGCCUGCGUGUACCCACUGACCUUUGUCCUACAUUUUCCUUAUAUUAUCCUAGAAGCAUUUGGAGUACUUUUGGAGAGAAUCUUUGAGAUGCCAGUCCUCUGUCUUCCCAGU